This 915-nucleotide ribosomal RNA is filed under the name uncultured archaeon. Its description in RNAcentral is "bacterial SSU rRNA". It matches the Rfam family "Archaeal small subunit ribosomal RNA", at positions 1 to 922 of the family's 1478-position model. The record is from RNAcentral.
UUCCGGUUGAUCCCGCCGGAGGCUACCGCUAUUGGAGUUCGAUUAAGCCAUGCGAGUCGCGAGUCUUAGGGACUCGGCGUACCGCUCAGUAACACGUGGGUAACCUGCCCUAUGCUGGGGAAUAACCUCGGGAAACUGAGAAUAAUGCCCCAUAGUUCACCACGCCUGGAACGGUGGGUGGAUGAAAGCUCCGGCGGCAUAGGAUGGGCCUGCGGCGUAUCAGGUCGUAGGGGGUGUAAUGUACCCUCUAGCCAUCGACGCGUACGGGUGUUGGGAGACAUAGCCCGGAGAUGGAUUCUGAGACACGAAUCCAGACCCUACGGGGUGCAGCAGGCGCGAAAACUUGGCAAUGCGAGAAAUCGUGACCAGGGAACUCCAAGUGGCUGGGGUAAGACCCAGUCUUUUCUUGACUCUUCAAAGGUCUUGGAAUAAGGGGUGGGUAAGGACGGUGCCAGCCGCCGCGGUAAUACCGGCGCCUCAAGUGGUAGUCGAUUUUAUUGGGCCUAAAACGUCCGUCGCCUGUUUGGUACAUUCGUGGGUAAAUCAACCAGCUCAACUGGUUGAAUUCUGCGAGCACGGCCAGACUUGGGACCGGGAGAGGUAUGGGGUACUCUCAGGGUAGGGGUAAAAUCCUGUCAUCCUGAGAGGACCACCUGUUGCGAAGGCGCCACACUAGAACGGAUCCGACGGUCAGGGACGAAACCUAGGGGCACGAACCGGAUUAGAUACCCGGGUAGUCCUAGGUGUAAACGCUGUGGACUUGAUGUUGGGGGCGCUCCGAGCGCUUUCAGUGUCGAAGCGAAGGUGAUAAGUCCACUGCCUGGGGAGUACGGUCGCAAGGCUGAAACUUAAAGGAAUUGGCGGGGGAGCACUGCAACCUGAGGAUUGUGCGGUUUAAUUGGAUUCAACGCCGGG